RNAcentral lists this ribosomal RNA (467 nucleotides) under uncultured bacterium. Its description in RNAcentral is "partial 16S ribosomal RNA". It matches the Rfam family "Bacterial small subunit ribosomal RNA", at positions 28 to 506 of the family's 1533-position model. The record is from RNAcentral.
GACGAACGCUGGCGGCGUGCUUAACACAUGCAAGUCGAACGGAAAGGCCCUGCUUUUGUGGGGUGCUCGAGUGGCGAACGGGUGAGUAACACGUGAGUAACCUGCCCUUGACUUUGGGAUAACUUCAGGAAACUGGGGCUAAUACCGGAUAGGAGCUCCUGCUGCAUGGUGGGGGUUGGAAAGUUUCGGCGGUUGGGGAUGGACUCGCGGCUUAUCAGCUUGUUGGUGGGGUAGUGGCUUACCAAGGCUUUGACGGGUAGCCGGUCUGAGAGGGUGACCGGCCACAUUGGGACGGAGAUACGGCCCAGACUCCUACGGGAGGCAGCAGUGGGGAAUAUUGCACAAUGGGCGGAAGCCUGAUGCAGCAACGCCGCGUGCGGGAUGACGGCCUUCGGGUUGUAAACCGCUUUCGCCUGUGACGAAGCGUGAGUGACGGUAAUGGGUAAAGAAGCACCGGCUAACUACGU